RNAcentral lists this unclassified non-coding RNA (251 nucleotides) under Glomeraceae sp. RNAcentral describes it as "partial contains 5.8S ribosomal RNA and internal transcribed spacer 2". The stretch from base 1 to 71 matches the Rfam family "5.8S ribosomal RNA", at positions 84 to 154 of the family's 154-position model. The record is from RNAcentral. Lineage: Eukaryota; Fungi; Glomeromycota; Glomeromycetes; Glomerales; Glomeraceae.
GUGAAUCAUCGAAUCUUUGAACGCAAAUUGCGCUUUCUGGUAUUCCGGGAAGUAUGCCUGUUUGAGUGUCAGUAUUCUCUAUAAAUCGGCUUUGUUGCUUUUUGUGUUGUUUCGGGAGUUUGGGCUAUCGUAAAUUUUUUGGUUAAGGGGCUUAAAAUUGACCUUUUUUGCGCAUUUUUAGACGUACAUAAUUUUUUUUUUUAUUCGUCUAUUCUUAAUGCCAAAUUUUUAUUAGAUUCGAUCACUACGUG